RNAcentral lists this ribosomal RNA (689 nucleotides) under Paenarthrobacter sp. RNAcentral's name for it is "bacterial SSU rRNA". It matches the Rfam family "Bacterial small subunit ribosomal RNA", at positions 81 to 783 of the family's 1533-position model. Lineage: Bacteria; Bacillati; Actinomycetota; Actinomycetes; Micrococcales; Micrococcaceae. The record is from RNAcentral.
UUGCUGGGGGAUUAGUGGCGAACGGGUGAGUAACACGUGAGUAACCUGCCCUUGACUCUGGGAUAAGCCUGGGAAACUGGGUCUAAUACCGGAUAUGACCAUUCCACGCAUGUGGUGGUGGUGGAAAGCUUUUGUGGUUUUGGAUGGACUCGCGGCCUAUCAGCUUGUUGGUGGGGUAAUGGCCUACCAAGGCGACGACGGGUAGCCGGCCUGAGAGGGUGACCGGCCACACUGGGACUGAGACACGGCCCAGACUCCUACGGGAGGCAGCAGUGGGGAAUAUUGCACAAUGGGCGCAAGCCUGAUGCAGCGACGCCGCGUGAGGGAUGACGGCCUUCGGGUUGUAAACCUCUUUCAGUAGGGAAGAAGCGAAAGUGACGGUACCUGCAGAAGAAGCGCCGGCUAACUACGUGCCAGCAGCCGCGGUAAUACGUAGGGCGCAAGCGUUAUCCGGAAUUAUUGGGCGUAAAGAGCUCGUAGGCGGUUUGUCGCGUCUGCUGUGAAAGACCGGGGCUCAACUCCGGUUCUGCAGUGGGUACGGGCAGACUAGAGUGCAGUAGGGGAGACUGGAAUUCCUGGUGUAGCGGUGAAAUGCGCAGAUAUCAGGAGGAACACCGAUGGCGAAGGCAGGUCUCUGGGCUGUAACUGACGCUGAGGAGCGAAAGCAUGGGGAGCGAACAGGAUUAGAU